UGGAAAUGGGGAAUGUGCCAAAGAGACAACAACCCGACCAUAGAAAAAAACAACAGCAGAAGGUCACCAACAGGUCUUCAAUGUAGCGAGAAAUUCCCGCACCCGGAGGCGUCCUUCAGCUGGCCCCUAAACAAAUAUAUACUAGUUCAGUGAUAAUGAACGCCAUACUAAUUUCCAAAUUGUACACAAGAAACUAAAAUUAAAAUAAUACAAGACUAACAAAGGCCAGAGGCUCCUGACUUGGGACAGGCGCAAAAAUGCGCGGGGUUAAA
RNAcentral lists this long non-coding RNA (272 nucleotides) under Mytilus galloprovincialis (Mediterranean mussel). The record is from RNAcentral. Lineage: Eukaryota; Metazoa; Mollusca; Bivalvia; Mytilida; Mytilidae.